CUUCUGGGCUAUCAACGUCUUCCUUUCCUUGAUUUCUUCGUUCCGACCUAACCCAAUCUCUGAAACAUACUAAAACUUACAAAGCAUUGCUUCCCAACUGAAAGUCUGAAAAUAAAUCAAGGCCACUUUUAAAAAUUAUUGACCCAUUCUAUGGGAUGGUCAGCUCUCAUAUGUCUUGUAAGUGUUCCAGUCCCCCCUAAAUUUCCUCC
RNAcentral lists this long non-coding RNA (209 nucleotides) under Nicotiana benthamiana. RNAcentral's name for it is "long non-coding RNA (NBEN_LNC035704)". The record is from RNAcentral. Lineage: Eukaryota; Viridiplantae; Streptophyta; Magnoliopsida; Solanales; Solanaceae.